Girardinichthys multiradiatus is the source of this 276-nucleotide long non-coding RNA. RefSeq lists it as uncharacterized. Lineage: Eukaryota; Metazoa; Chordata; Actinopteri; Cyprinodontiformes; Goodeidae. The record is from RefSeq and is a predicted model, not a curated record. The transcript has 3 exons.
AAUUUAAAUCCUUGGUUUGAUAGGAUGAAUUAGUGGCCAAACCUAGAGAAGCCCAAAGCACAGAAGAAAGUGAUGGCAGCUCACAGGGAGAUGCCGACAACAGCUCUGCCACAUCUGAGAGAGACUGGUCUGCAGAGGGAUACAAUAAGCCGAAGGAAAUAAGGACAGCCACAGGCAUCACUGAUGCUGGGCUCAUCAUUGUCUUAUUUGGUGAAACAGGCUCAGUUGAGACGGGAACAAAAAACAUCUUAAUUGACCAUGAUGAGCAUACAAAGU